GCCUGGAUAAUUUUUUUUUUUUUUUUUUUAGUAGAGACAGGGUUUCACCGUGUUAGCCAGGAUGGUCUUGAUCUCCUGACUUUGUGAUCUGCCUGCCUUGGCCUCCCAAAGUGCUGGGAUGACAGGCGUGAGCCACCGCACCCGGCCCAAAUGUCUUCCCUUUCUUAACCAUCCCAUCACUCCCUCUCUUCAUCAACAGCAGUAUGUCCAAAUUAUUCCCAUGACAGCUCUUACCCAUUUUACUGUAAUUUUUCAUUUGCAGUUCUGUGUAUGUCCUCAAAGGCCAAGCAGCUAGUCUAUGAGGUGCUCCAGAAGCAUUCAGGACCGCUAACAUUGAUUCAGAGAUGACCAUCUGCCAGGCACAGUGCUGACUGCCUUUGUAUGGAUCAUCUCAUUUAAUCCUCUCAACAACCUUAUUUGACAAGUAUCCCCAUCUUACAAAAGAGAAAACUGAAGCUCAGAGAGUUUAAGUAAUGUGUCCAGAGAGACAUGGUCGCAGAGUGAGGAGCUAGGGUUCAAAUCCUGGAAGGAGAGACAGCUAUGGUCACUCUGCUCUACCCUCAAUUUUCUGAGAUAGGAAUUGGGAGGAAGGGUUGGCAGAAAUCUACAUUUUUAAAAAAGCAGUAAGCUGUGGAUUAUGGUCUAAGGAAUAACACAGUCCUGCUGGACUCACCUUACACACCCUUGGGCCUGCUCUGGGGAAGUGGGGGGUGGGGGACUGGGAGGCACAAGGGCACCUUUCCUGCUGCAGGUGACUCAUCGUGACCCUGGCUUAGUGACAGCCUGGCACCGUGAGCCAGCAGAAGCAGCCGUCCCAGUGUGAAUUCUGGCUGGUCUGUGAGCUCUGGACCUUACCCAGAGACUGCCUGUUCCAAAGCAGUCCCUCUGAGAUCCCUCCCUAGGGCAUACGGAAAUUACAAGAAAAAUAAUUUUUUUUUUUUGAGACGGAGUUUCAUUCCUGUUGCCCAGGCUGCCGUGCAAUGGCACGAUCUCAGCUCACCGCAACCUCCAUCUCCCGGGUUCAAGUGAUUCUCCUGCCCCAGCCUCCCGAGUAGCUGGAAUUACAGGCAUGUAUCACCAUGCCUGGAUAAUUUUUUGUAUUUUUAGUAGAGACAGGGUUUCUCCAUGUUGGUCAGGCUGAUCUCAAACUCCCGACCUCAGGUGAUCCGCCUCCCUCGGCCUCUCAAGGUGCUGGGAUUACAGGUGUGAGCCACCGCACCCGGCCAAAAAAGAAUUUUUUAAAGAAGAAUAGACCAUCCUGGCUAACAUGGUGAAACCCCGUCUCUACUAAAAACACAAAAAAUUAGCCAGGCGUGGUGGCGGGCGCGUGCAAUCCCAGCUACUUAAGAGGCUGAGGCAGGAGAAUUGCUGGAACCCGGGAGGCAGAGGUUGCAGUGAGCCGAGAUCGAGCCACUGCACUCCAGCCUGGGUGAGAAGAGUGAAACUCCAUCUCUAAAUAAAGAAAUAAAAGAGAACUCUGGGGCACCAUGUGAGGGGAACUCCAAGGAGAGUCUUGGGUAGAGACGGAGCGAGGAGCACAGGCAGGAUGCUGCGCCUUCCAGGAAAGCCCUGGCACUGACCCCAGCUCGGCAACCCAGAUGAGAGCUAAUUUUGGGGAAAUGACUUCGCCUCUUGGAGUCUCAGUGAGAAAACACCAAGAACCCCUCAAGGAGCAGCUGCAGGUGAAGCGACGACAUGCACAGCAUGCAUCAGACCGCGCUGGACAGAGGCGCUUGUUCCUGUUUCUACCUCUCCCCACUUCAGAGGAUUCCUUC
RNAcentral lists this long non-coding RNA (1775 nucleotides) under Homo sapiens (human). RNAcentral's name for it is "HSALNT0235832". Lineage: Eukaryota; Metazoa; Chordata; Mammalia; Primates; Hominidae. The record is from RNAcentral.